Molecule: ribosomal RNA, 468 nt
Filed under: uncultured bacterium
Lineage: Bacteria
Description: partial 16S ribosomal RNA
Rfam family: Bacterial small subunit ribosomal RNA
Source: RNAcentral
GACGAACGCUGGCGGCGUGCUUAACACAUGCAAGUCGAACGGAAAGGCCCUGCUUUUGUGGGGUGCUCGAGUGGCGAACGGGUGAGUAACACGUGAGUAACCUGCCCUUGACUUUGGGAUAACUUCAGGAAACUGGGGCUAAUACCGGAUAGGAGCUCCUGCUGCAUGGUGGGGGUUGGAAAGUUUCGGCGGUUGGGGAUGGACUCGCGGCUUAUCAGCUUGUUGGUGGGGUAGUGGCUUACCAAGGCUUUGACGGGUAGCCGGCCUGAGAGGGUGACCGGCGACAUUGGGACUGAGAUACGGACCAGUCUCCUACGGUAGGCAGCAGUGGGGAAUAUUGCACAAUGGGCGGAAGCGUGAUGCAGCAACGCCGGGAGCGGGAUGACGGCCUUCGGGUUGUAAACCGCUUUCGCCUGUGACGAAGCGUGAGUGACGGUAAUGGGUAAAGAAGCACCGGCUAACUACGUG